CCUACGGGGUGCAGCAGUGAGGAAUAUUGGUCAAUGGCCGGAAGGCUGAACCAGCCAUGCCGCGUGACGGUCAGUGCCCUAUGGGCGUUAAACUUCUUUUGUGCGGGAGCAAUAAUGGUCACGUGUGGCCAGACGAGAGUACCGUACGAAUAAGCAUCGGCUAACUCCGUGCCAGCAGCCGCGGUAAUACGGGGGAUGCAAGCGUUAUCCGGAUUUAUUGGGUUUAAAGGGUGCGUAGGCUGUGAGGUAAGUCAGCGGUGAAAUGCCCCCGCUCAACGGGGUGAAGUGCGAUUGAUACUGCCUGGCUGGAAUGCGGAUGCGGUGGGAGGAAUGUGUGGUGUAGCGGUGAAAUGCAUAGAUAUCACACAGAACACCGAUUGCGAAGGCAUCUCACGAAUCCGCGAUUGACGCUGAUGCACGAAAGCGUGGGUAUCAAACAGGAUUAGAUACCCCAGUAGUC
RNAcentral lists this ribosomal RNA (460 nucleotides) under uncultured bacterium. RNAcentral describes it as "partial 16S ribosomal RNA". It matches the Rfam family "Bacterial small subunit ribosomal RNA", at positions 338 to 795 of the family's 1533-position model. The record is from RNAcentral.